UGGAGAGGUGGCAGAGUGGUUGAAUGCGGCUGACUCGAAAUCAGUUUUGGGGUCAAACCCAACGGAGGUUCGAAUCCUCUCCUCUCCGU
Molecule: transfer RNA, 89 nt
Filed under: Chroococcidiopsis sp. SAG 2025
Lineage: Bacteria; Bacillati; Cyanobacteriota; Cyanophyceae; Chroococcidiopsidales; Chroococcidiopsidaceae
Also listed under: 1 other name
Description: tRNA-Ser
Rfam family: tRNA
About the family: Transfer RNA (tRNA) molecules are approximately 80 nucleotides in length.
Source: RNAcentral